This 337-nucleotide ribosomal RNA is filed under the name uncultured bacterium. Its description in RNAcentral is "bacterial SSU rRNA". It matches the Rfam family "Bacterial small subunit ribosomal RNA", at positions 1 to 334 of the family's 1533-position model. The record is from RNAcentral.
CUAGCGACUUCAGAGUUUGAUCCUGGCUCAGGAUGAACGCUGCGGCGUGCAUAACACAUUCAAGUCGAACGGACAAAUGACUUCGGUUGUUUGUUAGUGGCGGACGGGUGAGUAACGCGUGAGCAAUCUGCCUUUGAUUGGGGGAUAACACAGGGAAACUUGUGCUAAUACCGCAUAAUGCAUCGAGAUCGCAUGUUUUUGAUGCCAAAGGAGCAAUCUGAUCAAAGAUGAGCUCGCGUCCUAUUAGAUAGUUGGUGAGGUAACGGCUCACCAAGUCGACGAUCGGUAGCCGGACUGAGAGGUUGAACGGCCACAUUGGAACUGAGAAACGGUCCAG